RNAcentral lists this ribosomal RNA (465 nucleotides) under uncultured bacterium. RNAcentral's name for it is "partial 16S ribosomal RNA". It matches the Rfam family "Bacterial small subunit ribosomal RNA", at positions 28 to 507 of the family's 1533-position model. The record is from RNAcentral.
GACGAACGCUGGCGGCGUGCUUAACACAUGCAAGUCGAACGGAAAGGCCCUGCUUGCAGGGUACUCGAGUGGCGAACGGGUGAGUAACACGUGGGUGAUCUGCCCUGCACUUCGGGAUAAGCCUGGGAAACUGGGUCUAAUACCGGAUAGGAGCCAUUUUUAGUGUGAUGGUUGGAAAGUUUUUUCGGUGUAGGAUGAGCUCGCGGCUUAUCAGCUUGUUGGUGGGGUAAUGGCCUACCAAGGCGGCGACGGGUAGCCGGCCUGAGAGGGUGGACGGCCACAUUGGGACUGAGAUACGGCCCAGACUCCUACGGGAGGCAGCAGUGGGGAAUAUUGCACAAUGGGCGCAAGCCUGAUGCAGCGACGCCGCGUGGGGGAUGACGGCCUUCGGGUUGUAAACUCCUUUCGCUAGGGACGAAGCUUUUUGUGACGGUACCUAGAUAAGAAGCACCGGCUAACUACGUG